Molecule: long non-coding RNA, 1989 nt
Organism: Podarcis raffonei (Aeolian wall lizard)
Lineage: Eukaryota; Metazoa; Chordata; Lepidosauria; Squamata; Lacertidae
Exons: 2
Source: RefSeq, a predicted model, not a curated record
AUCGCACAGAUGCGACAAACUGGCGCAGCUGGUUAUAUAAUCCCUUGGAUUCGGAUUUGGAAAGUGUUCUCUAUCUAAAUAUAUAUGUACUGUAUAUAGUUUCCAUUUCGGGUUUUUUCGUCGCUGCCGCUGUUGAAGCAGAUCACACCUGGAGUACUGUGUCCAAUUCUGAGCGCCACAAUUUUAGAAGGAUGUUGACAAGCUGGAACGUGUGCAGAGGAGGGUGACCAAGAUGAUCAAGGGUCUGGAAGCCAAGCCUUUUGAGGAACGGGUGAGGGAGUUGGGUAUGUUAGCCUGCAAAAGAGAAGACUUAGAGGGAACAUGAUAGCCAUCUUCAAAUAUCGAAAAGGUUGUUACAUUGAGGAUGGAGCAAGCUUCUUUCUCCCUGCUCUGCAUAUGCAUCCGAGUAUUAUAUUAGUGUCCUGCCAACCUAGCAGUUCGAAAGCACGUAAAAGUAGAUAAAUAGGUACCGCUUCAGCGGGAAGGUAAACUGUGUUUCCAUGUGCUGCUCUGGUUCGCCAGAAGCGGCUUAGUCAUGCUGGCCACAUGACCUGGAAGCUGUACGCCGGCUCCCUCGGCCAGUAAAGCGAGAUGAGCGCCGCAACCCCAGAGUCGGUCACGACUGGACCUCAUGGUCAGGGGUCCCUUUACCUUUUUAUUAUAUUAGUGGCUAAAAUUUAGUCAGUUACGAAGCGGAACAAGUGGUUGGUGACUUUUCACACUUGGAAGGAAAUGAAAUUGAUUGGGACUGAAAGAGCACAUGGUCCUUGCAAUACCCAGGGGUUUCAGAUGGACAUGUCCUCAUUACCUGAUGUUUUGUGGUCUGAGGGCCCUUGCCGCAGCAACCUUGCUGAAGCUAAACUGCUCUGGGCCUGGUAAGUGCUUGGAGGGAGACUGCCAGAGAAACCUUGUACGGUGGAACCUUGGUUCUCGAACUUAAUCCGCUCCGGGAGUCCAUUCGACUCCCGAAACUGUUCGAAAACCAAAGUGCAGCUUCCAAUUGGGUGCAGAGCUUCCUGCACUCAAGCGGAAGCCGUGUCGGACAUUCGGCUUCUGGAAAACGUUCGCAAACUGGAAAAAGUACUUCCGGGUUUGUGGCGUUCGACAGCCGAUUUGUUCUGCGACUAAGCCGUUCGAGAACCAAGGUUCCACUGUACUGCUGCCCUUGAGACUGACCCAGAAACUCCAGCAGGUGCAGAAUGCUGCAGCAAGACUCCUUACGGGGUCCUCGCUGCGAGAUCACAUUCACCUAGUGCUAUUCCAGCUGCACUGGCUCCCAGUGGAGUACACAAUCAGGUUUAAGGUGCUGGUUUUAACCUUUAAAGCCCUAUACGGCCUAGGACCCUCGUACCUACCGGACCGCCUCUCCUGGUAUGUCCCACAGAGGAAUUUACGAUCUUCAAACAAAAACAUCUUGGAGGUCCCGGGCCACAGGGAAGUUAGGCUGGCCUCAUCCAGAGCCAGGGCUUUUUCGGCUGUGGCUCCGAUCUGGUGGAACGCUCUGCCACAAGAGACUAGGGCCCUGCGGGACUUGACAUCUUUCCGCAGGGCCUGCAAGGCAGAGCUGUUCCACCAGGCCUUUGGCCAAGGCACAGCCUGACCCCCUCCUUUGGCAAUCUUCACAGAACUCUAGCCCAAUGGUUGCCAUCAAUUUGAUUUGAAUUAAUUUUAUAAUGAAAUGAUUUUAGAAUGUUGUAUUAUUUUAUUGUUGUUAGCCGCCCUGAGCCCGGCUUCGGCUGGGGAGGGCAGGAUAUAAAUAAAAAGUUGUUGUUGUUGUUGUUGUUAUUCCACGAUAGAAGGAAGGGAGGACACACCAUAAAUGUCCUAAAUAAAUCAUACGUCAGUGAAGAAACAUUCCAGAUAGACUGUCCUCAUGGAACUUCACUCACUUGCAGGCCGGAGGUGGAGAAUAUACCCCUGUACAUUUAAAGAAGAGGAAAUGCUCUGGCAGUACAUAUAAAAGGACCAUAAAGCCAUAUAACAUAGAGG